ACCUAAUAGAUACCCCCGGUAGUCCACGCCCUAAACGAUGCGAACUGGAUGUUGGGUACAUUACGGUACUCAGUGUCGAAAGCUAAACGCGUUAAGUUCGCCGCCUGGGGAGUACGGUCGCAAGACUGAAACUCAAAGGAAUUGACGGGGGUCCCGCACAAGCGGUGGAGUAUGUGGUUUAAUUCGAUGCAACGCGAAGAACCUUACCUGGCCUUGACAUCUGUCGAAUCCUGCAGAGAUGCGGGAGUGCCGCAAGGAACGACAAGACAGGUGCUGCAUGGCUGUCGUCAGCUCGUGUCGUGAGAUGUUGGGUUAAAGUCCCGCAACGAGCGCAACCCGUUGUCCCUAGUUGCCAGCACAUCAUGGUGGG
RNAcentral lists this ribosomal RNA (370 nucleotides) under uncultured bacterium. RNAcentral's name for it is "bacterial SSU rRNA". It matches the Rfam family "Bacterial small subunit ribosomal RNA", at positions 771 to 1135 of the family's 1533-position model. The record is from RNAcentral.